Molecule: ribosomal RNA, 253 nt
Filed under: uncultured bacterium
Lineage: Bacteria
Description: partial 16S ribosomal RNA
Rfam family: Bacterial small subunit ribosomal RNA
Source: RNAcentral
UACGGAGGGUCCGAGCGUUAAUCGGAAUUACUGGGCGUAAAGCGUGCGCAGGCGGUUAAUUAAGCGAGAUGUGAAAUCCCUGGGCUCAACCUAGGAAUGGCAUUUCGAACUGGUUGACUAGAGUUGUAUAGAGGGGGGUAGAAUUCCACGUGUAGCGGUGAAAUGCGUAGAGAUGUGGAGGAAUACCGGUGGCGAAGGCGGCCCCCUGGAUACAAACUGACGCUCAUGCACGAAAGCGUGGGGAGCAAACAGG